AUCCCUCACAGGGUAGCAGCAAGUGAAAGGGAUCCCCCUGGCCUUGAGGAGCUCACAUCUACUUAUUUCCCAGGGGUCUCUGUCCAGUGCCCACACAUGCCUGGCAUGUAGUAGGUGCCUCAUCCACAUCUGGUGAAAGAGUGGAAAGCAGGUCAUUAUCAUGUAUUGUUUGGCACAGAAUCUGCAGUAGGGGACAGAGAAAGUGCAGUGAAUAGAAGACACUUCUCUGCACCCCAAAAGCUCCAUGCUGAUUGUGAGAAGGAAAUGCUGGAUGGAGGGGUUCCUGGAACUACUGUGAGGGAUGAUACUCCAAAUUGAUACUUAAUAUACAGAAAUGACUAUCAUGGACAUAACCCACAACAUGUGAAAUGUAUGGCUCAUUCUACUGACAUUAUACAGGAAAGUUAAUGACAACUGAAUUUCUAGUCAUUUUCCACCCAACAAGUUGCUUAUAAAAUGUCAAGGAAUUGUAGAAAUGGUGAGAGAACUUUGGAUGUGGAACGUGGAGGAGGAGGAACACGAAGUGGGGAUCUCCACUUGGGGUGGUCAGCACUGCGGGUGCCCAGCAAAGUCACUGCCUGGUCCACAUCCCGGAGGGGUCUCUGCGCCUCAGUCGGCAUCGCAGCUGAUGGUGAAACUUUUGGUGUGGCAGAAGAGUGUCCACAAACUUCGGAAGAUCGCUGCUCAGAGUGAGGAAUGGAGUUGUGUUUUGAAUAAAAUAUCCACGCAUCCUUUUGU
This is a long non-coding RNA of Homo sapiens (human), 738 nucleotides long. Ensembl annotates it as family with sequence similarity 182 member A. Its record names the gene FAM182A. Lineage: Eukaryota; Metazoa; Chordata; Mammalia; Primates; Hominidae. The record is from Ensembl.